Molecule: transfer RNA, 75 nt
Filed under: Thiotrichales bacterium
Lineage: Bacteria; Pseudomonadati; Pseudomonadota; Gammaproteobacteria; Thiotrichales
Description: tRNA-Gly
Rfam family: tRNA
About the family: Transfer RNA (tRNA) molecules are approximately 80 nucleotides in length. Their secondary structure includes four short double-helical elements and three loops (D, anti-codon, and T loops).
Source: RNAcentral
GCGGGUAUCGUAUAAAGGCUAUUACCUUGGGUUUCCAACCCAAUGACCUCGGUUCGAGUCCGAGUAUCCGCUCCA